Molecule: long non-coding RNA, 1394 nt
Organism: Phyllostomus discolor (pale spear-nosed bat)
Lineage: Eukaryota; Metazoa; Chordata; Mammalia; Chiroptera; Phyllostomidae
Exons: 3
Source: RefSeq, a predicted model, not a curated record
CUUCCGCCCAGCGCGCGGUAAGGUGAGAGGAAAGGGACAAUCUUGGAGGGGAGAGCGACCCGGGCGCGAGGAGGCGCUGUGCAGACUGAAGAACGGCGUCUGAGGCGAAAGUGGAGGUUAGACGUGAGUGUCGCCGUUUGCCACAGCUUAUGGCCUCGAGCCGCCGGACAGGACGCGAUCCUGCCUUUCCCGAGGCUCCCUGGUGGCAUGCGGCACUGGAGAGAAGCCGACCACUCUGUCGGAGAAUGUUGGAGGACUACCUAGCCCGUGGUCAAAGGGUUUUCCACAUCUGUGAUCAUAUCAUCUGCACAGAUGAUUAGUCCCCCCCAAAGUUGAUUUUUUAUAUGUCAUAUUGUAUUAUAUUGUGAAGUUCUGCCCUUAACUCUGAGAUUCAUAAAAUUGGUGUUUACACGAGUGUCACAGGAAGUCAACAGGCAUGCAAAACCCGACCUGUGUUCCCCUCUCAGCUUUCUAGGAGCAGAGAAAGCCAAGCAGGGGAGCGAUGGUGGGGAGCCCUUGUCCAGAAAGUAUCUAAGGGACUGUGUCUUGUUCCCUUUUUGCUUUCACCUAAGGUUUCCCUUAUCUUAGGAAGUGGGGAAUCUGGCUGAAUUCCAGUGCAUCCAUCUGGUUAAACAUCCUGGGUGGUCUAGGAUGGAAAAGAACUUGAUGAUGUCCGAUUUGGAAGUGAGAGAGACGGAUUUGGAAUUAGAAUGAAUUUGCCUUUGUCAGGUUGGGGCUUUUUAGCAUCACUUCAACACUUAAUCUCAGCCUUGGGGGUGAGUACAGACACACACUCCUGAGAUCUCGUGGGUUCAGUUCCAGACCACCACAGUGAAGUGAUUGGUAAUCUUUUUGUUGGAGAAGAAUCUUGCCUUCAAUUUGUGAAAAAUGCAGUAUCUGUGAAACUCAAUAAAGCAAAGUGCAAUAAAACAAGGUGUGCCCGUGUGUCCUCCCAGCUGAGUGCCUCUGUCAUCCUGCCAGCUGCUCGUAGUGGGAUCUGGAGGGGUAGGUGUGCUCUGAGAGGAAAGAUCGCAGCCCCAGACAGACAUAAAUGGGGUCACAGAAAUCAGCAGCUCUGGAGGGAAAACCAGGAGCCAUGGAAAGAGCACCUGUUGUGAAGCAGAGGUCUGAGUUUGCAUCCUGGUUCUCUCCUUUUUGCCUACAACAAAUGUUCUACUAGCACUUAGGAGUCCUUAGUAGGUGUCAGUUUUGCUAAAUAUUUUACAUAUUGUACAUUUGUUUUCCUCCAAAGGCUGUCCAAACUCUUAACCACUAUACUGAGCUCUCCUUUGACUUUUUUUUUUUCUAUAAUGAAUGUAGAUUGUUUAUGUAAUUAAAGUGAUAGUCUCGGCCCUGACCCAUGUGGCUCAGUUGGUUGGGCAUUGUACUACAGA